Molecule: ribosomal RNA, 209 nt
Filed under: uncultured bacterium
Lineage: Bacteria
Description: partial 16S ribosomal RNA
Rfam family: Bacterial small subunit ribosomal RNA
Source: RNAcentral
CGCGUAGGUGGUUAAUUAAGUCAAAUGUGAAAUCCCCCGAGCUUAACUUGGGAAUUGCAUUCGAUACUGGUUAGCUAGAGUAUGGGAGAGGAUGGUAGAAUUCCAGGUGUAGCGGUGAAAUAGCGUAGAGAUCUGGAGGAAUACCGAUGGCGAAGGCAGCCAUCUGGCCUAAUACUGACACUGAGGUGCGAAAGCAUGGGGAGCAAACA